UGGGGAAUUUUGGACAAUGGGGGAAACCCUGAUCCAGCCAUCCCGCGUGUGCGAUGAAGGCCUUCGGGUUGUAAAGCACUUUUGGCAGGAAAGAAACGUCGCGGGUUAAUACCCCGCGAAACUGACGGUACCUGCAGAAUAAGCACCGGCUAACUACGUGCCAGCAGCCGCGGUAAUACGUAGGGUGCAAGCGUUAAUCGGAAUUACUGGGCGUAAAGCGUGCGCAGGCGGUUCGGAAAGAAAGAUGUGAAAUCCCAGAGCUUAACUUUGGAACUGCAUUUUUAACUACCGGGCUAGAGUGUGUCAGAGGGAGGUGGAAUUCCGCGUGUAGCAGUGAAAUGCGUAGAUAUGCGGAGGAACACCGAUGGCGAAGGCAGCCUCCUGGGAUAACACUGACGCUCAUGCACGAAAGCGUGGGGAGCAAACAGGAUUAGAUACCCUGGUAGUCCACGCCCUAAACGAUGUCAACUAGCUGUUGGGGGCCUUCGGGCCUUGGUAGCGCAGCUAACGCGUGAAGUUGACCGCCUGGGGAGUACGGUCGCAAGAUUAAAACUUAAAUGAAUUG
This 565-nucleotide ribosomal RNA is filed under the name uncultured bacterium. Its description in RNAcentral is "partial 16S ribosomal RNA". It matches the Rfam family "Bacterial small subunit ribosomal RNA", at positions 355 to 912 of the family's 1533-position model. The record is from RNAcentral.